RNAcentral lists this ribosomal RNA (535 nucleotides) under Chaetomium globosum. RNAcentral describes it as "partial large subunit ribosomal RNA". It matches the Rfam family "Eukaryotic large subunit ribosomal RNA", at positions 87 to 648 of the family's 3401-position model. Lineage: Eukaryota; Fungi; Ascomycota; Sordariomycetes; Sordariales; Chaetomiaceae. The record is from RNAcentral.
CGGCGAGUGAAGCGGCAACAGCUCAAAUUUGAAAUCUGGCUUCGGCCCGAGUUGUAAUUUGCAGAGGAAGCUUUAGGCGCGGCACCUUCUGAGUCCCCUGGAACGGGGCGCCAUAGAGGGUGAGAGCCCCGUAUAGUUGGAUGCCUAGCCUGUGUAAAGCUCCUUCGACGAGUCGAGUAGUUUGGGAAUGCUGCUCAAAAUGGGAGGUAAAUUUCUUCUAAAGCUAAAUACCGGCCAGAGACCGAUAGCGCACAAGUAGAGUGAUCGAAAGAUGAAAAGCACUUUGAAAAGAGGGUUAAAUAGCACGUGAAAUUGUUGAAAGGGAAGCGCUUGUGACCAGACUUGCGCCGGGCGGAUCAUCCGGUGUUCUCACCGGUGCACUCCGCCCGGCUCAGGCCAGCAUCGGUUCUCGCGGGGGGAUAAAGGUCCUGGGAACGUAGCUCCUCCGGGAGUGUUAUAGCCCGGGGCGUAAUGCCCUCGCGGGGACCGAGGUUCGCGCAUCUGCAAGGAUGCUGGCGUAAUGGUCAUCAGCGAC